GUCUACAGCCAUACCACCCUGAACACCCCCUAUCUCAUCUGAUCUCGGAAGCUAAGCAGGGUUGGGCCUGGUUGGUACUUGGAUAGGAGAGUUGGCUUAUUAAAAA
This 106-nucleotide ribosomal RNA is filed under the name Carlito syrichta (Philippine tarsier). The record is from RNAcentral. Lineage: Eukaryota; Metazoa; Chordata; Mammalia; Primates; Tarsiidae.